GCUGGCGGCACGCCUAACACAUGCAAGUCGAACGAAGUAGCAAUACUUAGUGGCAGACGGGUGAGUAACAUGUAGGUAUCUACCCUAUGGCCUGGAAUAACACGAGGAAACUUGUGCUAAUACUGGAUAAGUCUUUACGGAGAAAGCUUUAUGCACCAUUGGAUGAGCCUGCACUUGAUUAGUUUGUUGGUGGGGUAAUGGCCUACCAAGACUGUGAUCAAUAGCUGAUUUGAGAGGAUGAUCAGCCACAUUGGGACUGAGACACGGCCCAAACUCCUACGGGAGGCAGCAGUGGGGAAUCUUGCACAAUGGAGGAAACUCUGAUGCAGCGAUGCCGCGUGAGUGAAGAAGGCCUUUGGGUUGUAAAGCUCUUUCGUCGGGGAAGAAAAUGACUGUACCCGAAUAAGAAGGUCCGGCUAACUUCGUGCCAGCAGCCGCGGUAAUACGAAGGGACCUAGCGUAGUUCGGAAUUACUGGGCUUAAAGAGUUCGUAGGUGGUUGAAAAAGUUGGUGGUGAAAUCCCAGAGCUUAACUCUGGAACUGCCAUCAAAACUUUUCAGCUAGAGUAUGGUAGAGGAAAGCAGAAUUUCUAGUGUAGAGGUGAAAUUCGUAGAUAUUAGAAAGAAUACCAAUUGCGAAGGCAGCUUUCUGGAUCAUUACUGACACUGAGGAACGAAAGCAUGGGUAGCGAAGAGGAUUAGAUACCCUCGUAGUCCAUGCCGUAAACGAUGUGUGUUAGACGUUGGAAAUUUAUUUUCAGUGUCGCAGUGAAAGCGAUAAACACACCGCCUGGGGAGUACGACCGC
Molecule: ribosomal RNA, 806 nt
Filed under: uncultured Pelagibacteraceae bacterium
Lineage: Bacteria; Pseudomonadati; Pseudomonadota; Alphaproteobacteria; Candidatus Pelagibacterales; Candidatus Pelagibacteraceae
Description: bacterial SSU rRNA
Rfam family: Bacterial small subunit ribosomal RNA
Source: RNAcentral